UUUCUGUAGACUUCUUAAGUAUUUCCAGAUUAUUUCCAAUGUUAUUUCUGUACAUAUAUUCAGAUAAGGAACACACAGUGGUUGUCGUCAGUGGUUUGUAUUUAAUUGUAUAACAUCUUCUUUAAAACACAAUCAGAAUCUUUAAGCAUAAUCUAUUGAAAAGAAAACAACUAAAAACAAACAAAAGAAAAAAGUAUUUCCUCUUUCUCUACAUAACUUUUACUUUAAGAUUCUAAGCUGAAUAUGUCCAAAUGAAAUUACACGGACUUCCUUCUGUAUCUAUUUUACAACUUCAUGCAUCUCGAAAUGCGUUUUUAUGUUCAUUAUUGAAUUUGCAUCUGCCAAUUUUAUCUAGCAAAUAUUUUACAGAACUGAGGAAGCAGAAUUCUAAUGCUGAUAGGAGAAGCAGUUCUCAUUAACAAUCUUUCUAAUAAUGUGUUUUUAAGCUAUUCCAGUCUUCUGGCAGGACACAAUCUUUAAUCCUCUGUCCCCCAUGAACUUCCUCCUCAGUCAGCUUCUCUUACUUGUUAAAUUCCUAUUGGGAUGUCUACAUGGAUUCUUACAGAAUGCUUUAAUCACAUCAUUAAUUAAACAUCUAGACAUUGAUUUUACUUCCUAUUUGAUCUUUCACAGAUCAGAACUAAUUUUAAAAAUUAUUUCUAGAGCUACUGCAUUGCUGUCUAGUGGAACAGAUUUUAUUACAGAUGGUCCAGAGACUCUAUUGGUAGCUACAAUCUGCCAGCAUUGGCUCUUGAAGGUGUCCCGUGCUCCUGGAUGAGGCACUUCACUGUUCACGGCCUUCUGUCUGCAUGGAAGUGGAGCAUGUUCCUGAUUUGGCUUCUGCAGCCAGCACGUCAUCAUCAAUUUACUUUGUGGUCUUCUGUGCUUCUUUCUCUCCCAUUUCAAUACAUAUUCCUUUUUCCUGUCACCUCUUUUAGAAGAAUAUAUUUUAGAAAAAGAACUGUUUUCAUUUUGUACCAUACAACUCUCUCCUUUCCAGGAGUAGGUGUGUAGAUGGUGUGCAGUAGGUGUGUAGUGAUAGAUUGGAGGAACAUUCAGGCACAAGUAAUAAAAUACUCAGAAGCAUUGUUUUCUACAGAAACUAUGCCCUAGCUCCAAGUUCCCCCACUGUGUGGAGCUCCUUCCUUCUUUGUGAUAAUUUUUGUGUAAAGGAGUCAACUGCCUUUCCAUGAAACACAUUUCCAUGAGUUGGACCUGACCUCAGGUUCUGUAGAUAUUUGUGUAACUGUGUCUAUAGUCCUAUUUUCACUGAGAUUAAGUUCUCUUCCUCGG
RNAcentral lists this long non-coding RNA (1293 nucleotides) under Papio anubis (olive baboon). RNAcentral describes it as "lncRNA (ENSPANG00000045270.1)". The record is from RNAcentral. Lineage: Eukaryota; Metazoa; Chordata; Mammalia; Primates; Cercopithecidae.